This 1101-nucleotide ribosomal RNA is filed under the name marine sediment metagenome. RNAcentral's name for it is "bacterial SSU rRNA". It matches the Rfam family "Bacterial small subunit ribosomal RNA", at positions 8 to 1075 of the family's 1533-position model. The record is from RNAcentral.
AGGGUUUGAUCUUGGCUCAGAACGAACGCUGGCGGCGUGGUUUAGGCAUGCAAGUCGAACGAGGAUAUAUCCUUCGGGAUAUAAGCCGAGUGGCGAAAGGGUGAGUAAUGCACAGACAACCUGCCUUUAGGAUAAGAAUAACUCUGUGAAAGCGGAGCUAAUACUUAAUAAUACAAAGGAAAGGUUCUUUUCUUUGUCAAAGAAGGGUAUGUAUAAUACCUUGCGCCUAAAGAGGGGUUUAUGUCCUAUCAGCUUGUUGGUAGGGUAACGGCCUACCAAGGCGAAGACGGGUAGCCGGCCUUAGAGGGUGGUCGGCCACACUGGAACUGAGACACUGUCCAGACUUCUACGGAAGGCUGCAGUCGAGAAUCUUUCGCAAUGCCCGAAAGGGUGACGAAGCGACGCCGCGUGGAUGAAGAAGGCCUUCGGGUUGUAAAAUCCUGUCAGGAGUUAAGAAAUGUAAGUUUGCGAAUACCAAAUUUACUUGACAAAGGCUCCAAAGGAAGCCACGGCUAACUCUGUGCCAGCAGCCGCGGUAAUACAGAGGUGGCGAGCGUUGUUCGGAAUUAUUGGGCGUAAAGAGCACGUAGGUGGAUUUGUAAGUCAGAUGUGAAAGCCUUCUGUUCAACGGAAGAAUUGCGUCUGAAACUACAAACCUUGAGUAUAGGAGGGGAGAGUGGAACUUCUGGUGGAGCGGUGAAAUGCGUAGAUAUCAGAAGGAACGCCGGCGGCGAAAGCGACUCUCUGGCCUAUAACUGACACUGAGUGUGCGAAAGCUAGGGGAGCAAACGGGAUUAGAUACCCCGGUAGUCCUAGCCGUAAACGAUGGGCACUAAGUAGGGGAAACUACCGAUGUUUUCUCUGCCGUAGCAAACGCAUUAAGUGCCCCGCCUGGGGAGUACGGCCGCAAGGCUAAAACUCAAAAGAAUUGACGGGGGCUCGCACAAGCGGUGGAGCAUGUGGCUUAAUUCGAUGCAACGCGAAAAACCUUACCGGGGUUUGACAUGAUAGAAGUAGGAACUCGAAAGAGGGACCAACGGUAUCCAGUCCGUAACUAUCACAGGUGUUGCAUGGCUGUCGUCAGCUCGUGUCGUGAGACGU